GAUGAACGCUGGCGGCGUGCCUAAUACAUGCAAGUCGAGCGAACAGACGAUGAGCUUGCUCCUCUGACGUUAGCGGCGGACGUGUGAGUAACACGUGUAUAACCUACCUAUAAGACUGGGAUAACUUCGUGAAACCGUAGCUAAUACCGGAUAACAUUUUGAACCGCAUGGUUCAACAGUGAAAGACGGUCUUGCUGUCACUUAUAGAUGUAUCCGGGCGGCAUUAGCUAGUUGGUAAGGUAACGGCUUACCAAGGCAACGAUGCGUAGCCGACCUGAGAGGGAGAUCGGCGAAACGGGAAGUGAGACAGGGAAAAGAGUACGAAGGGAGGCAGCAGUAGGGAAUAUUCCGCAAUGGGCGAAAGGAUGACGGAGCAACGGCGCGUGAGUGAAGAAGGUCUGAGGAUCGUAAAACUCUGUUAUGAGGGAAGAAAAAAUGUGUAAGUAAAUAUGCACGUAAUGACGGUAACUAAACAGAAAGCAACGGCUAACUACGUG
Molecule: ribosomal RNA, 497 nt
Filed under: uncultured bacterium
Lineage: Bacteria
Description: partial 16S ribosomal RNA
Rfam family: Bacterial small subunit ribosomal RNA
Source: RNAcentral